GGGCAACGCAAUCAAGCAAUCUGUACUUGACAUCGAACGGUUUCCAAGAACAGGUGUGGACGAGCACACACUAAACAACUUUCUUGGAAGACUAGCACGUAGGCUUAGGCGUGCUGCAGCUCGGUGCGGUUGCGGUACUAGUGCUGCGAUGAAUGUGCAUGUGCCACAGGAACGACAAUGCAACACACCUGUUGUGCAUGGUACAUCUUCUUUGGGAGGAUCUGGAGGACAGAGCUCGUCUCGGCCAACUAUGGACACUUUUCAAAGCGAUGAUGAUGAGGACGAAGAGGGGGUGGCCGAGGAGCGUGACUAUGA
Sorghum bicolor (sorghum) is the source of this 315-nucleotide long non-coding RNA. RefSeq lists it as uncharacterized. The record is from RefSeq and is a predicted model, not a curated record. The transcript is spliced from 3 exons. Lineage: Eukaryota; Viridiplantae; Streptophyta; Magnoliopsida; Poales; Poaceae.